GAUGAAUGCUGGCGGCGUGCCUAAUACAUGCAAGUCGAGCGGUAACAGGGAAUUCCACAGUUUCCUUGACACACCUAGCGCUAUGAUCGUAGGUUGUUGACUUCGAGGGAACCGUGGAAUUCUGCUGACGAGCGGCGGACGGCUGAGUAACGCGUGGGAACGUACCCCAAACCUGAGGGAUAACGCACCGAAAGGUGUGCUAAUACCGCAUAUGAUCUUCGGAUUAAAGCUUUCGGGCGGUUUGGGAAUGGCCUGCGUACGAUUAGAUAGUUGGUAGGGUAAGUGGCCUACCAAGUCGACGAUCGUUAGAUGGUUUGAGAAGAUGAUCAUCCAGACUGGGACUGAGACACGGCCCAG
This 357-nucleotide ribosomal RNA is filed under the name uncultured bacterium. RNAcentral describes it as "bacterial SSU rRNA". It matches the Rfam family "Bacterial small subunit ribosomal RNA", at positions 28 to 334 of the family's 1533-position model. The record is from RNAcentral.